AUUGAACGCUGGCGGAAUGCUUUACACAUGCAAGUCGAACGGCAGCACGGGGGCAACCCUGGUGGCGAGUGGCGAACGGGUGAGUAACACAUCGGAACGUGCCCAGUCGUGGGGGAUAACGUAGCGAAAGCUACGCUAAUACCGCAUACGAACUCUGGUUGAAAGCGGGGGACUCGCAAGGGCCUCGCGCGAUUGGAGCGGCCGAUGGCAGAUUAGGUAGUUGGUGGGGAAAGGCCUACCAAGCCGACGAUCUGUAGCUGGUCUGAGAGGACGACCAGCCACACUGGGACUGAGACACGGCCCAGACUCCUACGGGAGGCAGCAGUGGGGAAUAUUGGACAAUGGCGCAAGCCUGAUCCAGCCAUGCCGCGUGGGUGAUGAAGGCCCUAGGGUUGUAAGGCCC
This 403-nucleotide ribosomal RNA is filed under the name uncultured bacterium. Its description in RNAcentral is "bacterial SSU rRNA". It matches the Rfam family "Bacterial small subunit ribosomal RNA", at positions 29 to 433 of the family's 1533-position model. The record is from RNAcentral.